Molecule: ribosomal RNA, 487 nt
Filed under: uncultured Micrococcus sp.
Lineage: Bacteria; Bacillati; Actinomycetota; Actinomycetes; Micrococcales; Micrococcaceae
Description: bacterial SSU rRNA
Rfam family: Bacterial small subunit ribosomal RNA
Source: RNAcentral
AGAGUUUGUAUCCUGGCUCAGGAUGAACGCUGGCGGCGUGCUUAACACAUGCAAGUCGAACGAUGAAGCCCAGCUUGCUGGGUGGAUUAGUGGCGAACGGGUGAGUAACACGUGAGUAACCUGCCCUUGACUCUGGGAUAAGCCUGGGAAACUGGGUCUAAUACCGGAUAGGAACGUCCACCGCAUGGUGGUUGUUGGAAAGAUUUAUCGGUCAUGGAUGGACUCGCGGCCUAUCAGCUUGUUGGUGAGGUAAUGGCUCACCAAGGCGACGACGGGUAGCCGGCCUGAGAGGGUGACCGGCCACACUGGGACUGAGACACGGCCCAGACUCCUACGGGAGGCAGCAGUGGGGAAUAUUGCACAAUGGGCGAAAGCCUGAUGCAGCGACGCCGCGUGAGGGAUGACGGCCUUCGGGUUGUAAACCUCUUUCAGUGGGGAAGAAGCGAAAGUGACGGUACCUGCAGAAGAAGCACCGGCUAACUACGUG